Molecule: ribosomal RNA, 674 nt
Filed under: uncultured bacterium
Lineage: Bacteria
Description: bacterial SSU rRNA
Rfam family: Bacterial small subunit ribosomal RNA
Source: RNAcentral
CGGUGAUAGCAAUAUCAUAGUGGCGCACGGGUGCGUAACACGUAUGCAACCUACCUUAUACUGAGGGAUAGCCUUUCGAAAGGGAGAUUAAUACCUCAUAACACAUUGAACUGGCAUCAGUUUAUUGUUAAAGAUUUAUUGGUAUAAGAUGGGCAUGCGUCCAAUUAGUUAGUUGGCGAGGUAACGGCUCACCAAGACGAUGAUUGGUAGGGGAACUGAGAGGUUAAUCCCCCACACUGGCACUGAGAUACGGGCCAGACUCCUACGGGAGGCAGCAGUAGGGAAUAUUGGGCAAUGGAGGCAACUCUGACCCAGCCAUGCCGCGUGCAGGAAGAAGGCGUUAUGCGUUGUAAACUGCUUUUAUAUAGGAAGAAAUAGACCUUGCGAGGUAAGUUGACGGUACUAUAUGAAUAAGCACCGGCUAACUCCGUGCCAGCAGCCGCGGUAAUACGGAGGGUGCAAGCGUUGUCCGGAUUUAUUGGGUUUAAAGGGUGCGUAGGCGGUUUACUAAGUCAGUGGUGAAAGACGGUCGCUCAACGAUUGCAGUGCCAUUGAUACUGGUAGACUUGAGUGGGAUUGAGGUAGCUGGAAUGGAUAGUGUAGCGGUGAAAUGCAUAGAUAUUAUCCAGAACACCAAUUGCGUAGGCAAGUUACUAAGUCUCAACUGACGCUGA